Molecule: ribosomal RNA, 984 nt
Filed under: Russula thuringiaca
Lineage: Eukaryota; Fungi; Basidiomycota; Agaricomycetes; Russulales; Russulaceae
Description: Russula sp. RL-2022a partial large subunit ribosomal RNA
Rfam family: Eukaryotic large subunit ribosomal RNA
Source: RNAcentral
UUGACCUCAAAUCGGGUGAGACUACCCGCUGAACUUAAGCAUAUCAAUAAGCGGAGGAAAAGAAACUAACAAGGAUUCCCCUAGUAACUGCGAGUGAAGCGGGAAAAGCUCAAAUUUAAAAUCUGGUGGCCUUUGGUCAUCCGAGUUGUAAUUUAGAGAAGCGUCUUCCGCGCUGGACCAUGCACAAGUCUCCUGGAAUGGAGCGUCAUAGAGGGUGAGAAUCCCGUCUUUGGCAUGGAUGCACCAGGGCUUCUGUGAUGCGCUCUCGAAGAGUCGAGUUGUUUGGGAAUGCAGCUCAAAAUGGGUGGUGAACUCCAUCUAAAGCUAAAUAUUGGCGAGAGACCGAUAGCGAACAAGUACCGUGAGGGAAAGAUGAAAAGCACUUUGGAAAGAGAGUGAAACAGUACGUGAAAUUGUUGAAAGGGAAACGCUUGAAGUCAGUCGCGUCGACCGAGACUCAGCCUCGCCUUGGCUUGGUGUACUUCUCGGCCGACGGGUCAGCAUCAAUUUUGCCCCUCGGAUAAUGACAAGGGAAAGGUAGCACCUUUAUAGGUGUGUUAUAGUCUCCUGUCGCAUGCGAGGGUUGGGAUUGAGGAACUCAGCACGCGCCUUUUGGUGUCGGGGCUUCGGCCUACGUACGUGCUUAGGAUGCUGGCAUAAUGGCUUUAAACGACCCGUCUUGAAACACGGACCAAGGAGUCUAACAUGCCCGCGAGUGUUCGGGUGGAAAACCCGUGCGCGUAAUGAAAGUAAAAGUUGGGACCUCUGUCGUGGAGAGCACCGACGCCCGGACCAGACCUUCUGUGACGGAUCUGCGGUAGAGCGUGCAUGUUGGGACCCGAAAGAUGGUGAACUAUGCUUGAAUAGGGUGAAGCCAGAGGAAACUCUGGUGGAGGCUCGUAGCGAUUCUGACGUGCAAAUCGAUCGUCAAAUUUGGGUAUAGGGGCGAAAGACUAAUCGAACCAUCUAGUAGCUGGUUCCUGC